RNAcentral lists this ribosomal RNA (467 nucleotides) under uncultured bacterium. RNAcentral describes it as "bacterial SSU rRNA". It matches the Rfam family "Bacterial small subunit ribosomal RNA", at positions 62 to 524 of the family's 1533-position model. The record is from RNAcentral.
UCGAACGGCAGCACGGAGCUUGCUCUGGUGGCGAGUGGCGAACGGGUGAGUAAUAUAUCGGAACGUACCCUAGAGUGGGGGAUAACGUAGCGAAAGUUACGCUAAUACCGCAUACGAUCUAAGGAUGAAAGUGGGGGAUCGCAAGACCUCAUGCUCGUGGAGCGGCCGAUAUCUGAUUAGCUAGUUGGUAGGGCAAAAGCCUACCAAGGCAUCGAUCAGUAGCUGGUCUGAGAGGACGACCAGCCACACUGGAACUGAGACACGGUCCAGACUCCUACGGGAGGCAGCAGUGGGGAAUUUUGGACAAUGGGCGAAAGCCUGAUCCAGCAAUGCCGCGUGAGUGAAGAAGGCCUUCGGGUUGUAAAGCUCUUUUGUCAGGGAAGAAACGGUGGGAGCUAAUAUCUCUUGCUAAUGACGGUACCUGAAGAAUAAGCACCGGCUAACUACGUGCCAGCAGCCGCGGUAAU